GUAUUGUGAGCCGGUGACUAACGCCCACACACUGCUGGUUUAUACAAUGUAUUUUCUUUAGACUAAAUAAGGCCUUGGGGGAAAAUAUUAGAUGCAUGUUAUGGGUGCAUCCCAAAUGUUACCUACUGCCUGGGUGAUUCCAAUCUAGAGAUCCUGAAAGAUCUCUGAACUGUAGGAUGUGGUUGGGUGAGGCUUCCAAGAAAGCUGUUUGAACGUGGGCAGGUUUCAAUAAAUGGAAUGUAGAUAUGAUCGUAGUUGUAGCAGCCAUUUUGCAACCACGAGGCAGUUGAGGACUAGAAGCUACACACCUAGGACCAGGGAGGAGAAAGACGAAAAAAGACUGGGCAGUAGGCAUGAGGCAGAGGGCAGCACACUGCCAUGGACAGCCUACUUCCAGGUGUGCUUUAUGCAAGAGCCCUCUUCCAUGAAGCUGGGGUAGGGCUGGCCCACUUCCCCCAAGACCAUCUGCUGGGGACCCCAUGACUUCCUCCUCCUGCCCCAGUGUGAGGUCAGGGCCAUACCAGGCCCCCGAACCUGGCCUGCAGCCCUUGCAGGACAAGAAACCUGGCUCAGGAAAGGAAUUCUGCAGAUGCCUAUGAGAACAGAGAGACAGGCAGAUGCCAUCCUUUGAGGCCCUGCAUCUGGGCCACCAGAUAAAAUGCAACCCACCAUGUUCAGUUUCAAUUCCA
This 689-nucleotide long non-coding RNA is filed under the name Marmota monax (woodchuck). Lineage: Eukaryota; Metazoa; Chordata; Mammalia; Rodentia; Sciuridae. The record is from RNAcentral.